UCUCCGUAGGUGAACCUGCGGAGGGAUCAUUACAGAGUUCAUGCCCUACCGGGUAGAUCUCCCACCCUAUGCUAUUAUUACUUUGUUGCUUUGGCGGGCCGUUAGGCUCCGGCCCGACUACCGGCCCCGGCUGGUAAGCGCCCGCCAGAGGACCCAAAACCCUAAAUAUUAGUGUCGUCUGAGUACUAUAUAAUAGUUAAAACUUUCAACAACGGAUCUCUUGGUUCUG
RNAcentral lists this unclassified non-coding RNA (229 nucleotides) under plant metagenome. RNAcentral's name for it is "partial contains small subunit ribosomal RNA, internal transcribed spacer 1, and 5.8S ribosomal RNA". The record is from RNAcentral.